Molecule: ribosomal RNA, 710 nt
Filed under: uncultured Inocybe
Lineage: Eukaryota; Fungi; Basidiomycota; Agaricomycetes; Agaricales; Cortinariaceae
Description: eukaryotic LSU rRNA
Rfam family: 5.8S ribosomal RNA (bases 293-446)
Source: RNAcentral
GAAGUAAAAGUCGUAACAAGGUUUCCGUAGGUGAACCUGCGGAAGGAUCAUUAUCGAAUAAACUUGAACAGGCUGUUGCUGGUCUUCUCCGUGCACGCUUGUCUCAUCUUUGUUAUUUCUCCAACUCUGUGCACCUUUUGUAGACCCUGGAGCCUUUAUGAAUUUUCUGAAAAUUCGAGUCAGGAUUGCUGUGCUGUAAAAAGUCGGCUUUGCCUUGCAUCUCCAGGUCUAUGUCAUUUUUCACAACCUCUCAUAUGUUUAGAAUGUUGGAAAUAUAAAAUUGAAAUAUAACAACUUUCAGCAACGGAUCUCUUGGCUCUCGCAUCGAUGAAGAACGCAGCGAAAUGCGAUAAGUAAUGUGAAUUGCAGAAUUCAGUGAAUCAUCGAAUCUUUGAACGCAUCUUGCGCUCCUUGGUAUUCCGAGGAGCAUGCCUGUUUGAGUGUCAUUUAACUUCUCAACCACAUCAUGACAUUGAUGUUGGCUUGGAUGUGGGGGUUCUUUUUUUUGCAGGCUUUCUGUGGAAGGUCGGCUCCCCUGAAAUGGAUUAGUGGUAUCUGAGGCUACUACUAUGGGUGUGAUAAAUAUCUAAGCCUUUGGUGUAUGCCGCAUGAACAGAUUACACUGCUUCUAACAAAACAAAUUUUUGAUGAAUUUUGACCUCCAAAUCAAGGUAGGGACUACCCCCGCUGAACUUAAAGCAUAUCAUAAA